Molecule: non-coding RNA, 3268 nt
Organism: Callorhinus ursinus (northern fur seal)
Lineage: Eukaryota; Metazoa; Chordata; Mammalia; Carnivora; Otariidae
Source: RefSeq, a predicted model, not a curated record
UCCUUCUGUUUCAACCCCAUCUGGUUACAUCCGAUGCCAUCGGGGUUCUUGUGAGACCGAGCUUGAGAAUGCGAAGUGAAGAGGCAAGGCCAAAAUUGAGGCGAAUCCAGGGACAUGGGGAUAGGUCUCCGGUACGAACUCAGAAAGUGACUGGAGGAUAUGGCUGGAGGAAGAAAUGGGCGAGGAAUAAACGCGGUGCCCUGGAAAUAUUGAAGACAAAAUUGGGCCCAAAAUAAAUUAUUUACUGAGAAGCGUAUCAUUUCCUUGCGUUUUAUUUGGUAGUUCCUUGAUGUGGAGAUAAUAAUAUAGGAGCUGUUGGUAUGGUUGGCCUGAGAUAAGUGACCCCGGAGGAGCUUGAAUGAGAGUGAAUAUGAGGAUACGUCGGCAUUUAAUUCAACGAACCCUUUUCUACAAGACCCAUUGUCUGUGGGGGAAUUAAGAAGGAAAUAAGGAGGCAAGAGUGAUUCCAACAUUUCCAAGCCAGAUUGCUUCUUUUUCCCCUUUUUGUUUACUUAGUCCAGAUUCCUGCCAAAAAGGAAUUAACAUUCUUGGAGAUGUUGGAAAAAGAUUCCUGGGCCUUGGAAGAUAAUUACUCCAAAUAUACAGGGGAGUGGGAGGAGGGUGAAGCAGAGACAUCAGUUUUCCAGACUCUGACUUGGUAAGCCUCAGUUCCUUGAUGGCUUUUGGCUAAAGACUUCAGUUCUUCACCAUGUGAACAUAGGCUGCCUGAGUAUCCGCACAACAUGACAACUGGCUUCCACCAGAGGGAAUGAUCCAAGAGAGAAAUGCCAAGAUGACAUGGAGGUGGACACGUACAAGGGUGUGAAUACCAAGGGUGGAGGAUUGUUGGGGAUCCUCUUGGAGGAAUGAAAUUAAGGGUUUUUCAUAAAGAACAUCAUUUUGUCAGAUUUAUCUGAUAAAAAAUGUGAACGUUUAUAUAGUAAGGUAAGAGGUUUAUUAAUUUGUUAAUUUUGGCGAACAGAAAAUCAGAUUUCAGCAAACAAUAUGUGAGCAUAAUGUGGAUAUCAUACUCAAAUUUUUUUCCCUUUCACCUUUGAAAGAUAAUUUUCUAAAUCAAUAGAUUUGAUUCAGGAUUGGCAAUUGGGUGGCUGGGGUCAGGACUUUUAACCUUGAUGAUCAUCUUUUCUCAGAAACAAUAAUGUAAUUCAGGCCCUGAAAUUCUUAGAGAUCAUAUAUUCCAGGGUUUAAAUUUGCUGAACUUUUGGAUCAUCUAUAAAUGACUCUUUGAUAUGCCACUGAAUGACCAUCCUGUAACUUAAGCUUUAUUCAAGAACAGUAGAUAAGUAGGUAGUCAAAAGCUGGAAAUCUCAAAUCUAAUACCAGAUUAGUCUGUCAGUAUGCAUGUAGUCUUGGAGUGUUUCAAAUCAGGAAUAUAAAGGAGAAAAAUAUUUGCAAAUACUCAAAAUUGAUUCACACACAUUUUCAUUUCAUAAAUUUCUAUAAACAUAAAAGUUAAUGUAAACUUUGCUUAUAUGCCUUAAUGAAAAGAUGUACAAAAUAAGUGCAUUCAAAAACAAAACUAAAACAUUAAUGAGAUGGAUGCUACUGUUACAGAAGUAAACAUAGUGCUUGCUGGCUGGUAUGGAAUAAGUUGUAAACACAUACAGUCUUGUGCCUUGUGAUGACUGUAAAGCUUUACAGCCUGGACGACAGUAGAUUUGGCCAGAACUUUACUUUUUUGCAGACCUCAAUAUUACUGAAAUGAGGGGAGGGGGCCUAAAUUCUUAAAAGGAUGUCGUUGGACUGUCUGCAAAUCCUAAUAUGAAGAAUUAUGUAUUUGUCUCCAAACAUUUUUCCAGCUCCAAUGAGUAAUUCAGUCUGGAACUAACAUUCCUUUGAGAAAACCUUUGGUUUUUAUUUUGAUCUAUAGUUAUGUUUGACCAGUAGUUAAAUUGGGUUAAAAGUUGACUAUUUUGUGAACUAAUACAAGUUUUUCUUUUUAGAUACAGGUAGUCCUUACUUUGCAUCAUUCCAAUAUACGUGAAGAUCAGUUUUCACAGUUUAGUUAAAUAACAUCAAUUCCCCUACAACAUGGUUGAAAUUUCAGUUACCACAAUAGUAACCAAAUUGUUGCAUAAGCAUUGCUGGUAGCUCUUUAUUCCACAAAUGAUUAUGCAUAUAAAAGAUUGUCAGUAACCACUUAUAUCACUUCUUUCAAAAGUCUGUUGGUGAUUGAUCACUUAACAUCUGUUAGUUCACACAGAGUAAAGCAUGUAGUUGUGUUGCCUAGUUUUCCAGUGAUAAACCCCCCGACAUUUUACAAAAAUGGAUAAUCAAGAGGGAAUUGGUCAACAAAGAUGACAGGGCAGCAAAGAAACAAAAAGUGGUAACACUGGAAGUGAAAUUGGACGUCAUUAGAAGAUUUGAAAAUGGUGACAGCAUAGUGAAGACAAGAUGAGACCUAGGCUGACAUGAACCUAUAGUACGAACCAUCUUUUAAAAGUUCAGUGAAACUUUUAGGUAAAGUUGCUUCAACAUUUUUUACUUUAAAUUGUACUAGGAACAGAAAGCCAUGUAUGGUUGAAAUGGAAUGUUUACUUCUACUUGGGACUGAGGACUCUAAUAAAAAACAAAUCCCAAUCAGUUUGGCUAGCAUUCAAGCCAAAGUGUUGAGGUUAGUUGCUGCACUGAAGGAAAAUGGUUAACUACAAGGAGACUGAAAAAGAACAUUUUACUGCUAAUAAAGGCUGGUUUCGUCGUUUGUAAAGUCGGCAUGAAUUGAUUAAUUUUCUGCUAUCUGGUGAAGCUGCAAGCUCAGAUAAGGAUGCUACUGUGAAAUUUGCACAUUAUUCCAAGAAUCAUAGGCAGUCCUUGCUUUGUACAUUAGAAGACUACUGUGUAAAAACAUCACAGGGUUUGGCUGUAAUGUAAAUGGAGUUCUAGAAGAUACAGAUGACUGGGAAUGUUAACACUGCUGCUACUUCAAGUAGUCUAGAUAUACAGCCAGAAGAAUUUAGUGAAGGUGAACAUAGUUAUAGAGGAGGAAAGCCAUUGUGUGUUGUAAAGGAUGAAUACGUUUCAGAGGAAGUGAUGCAGGUGACAAACCACAUUAAAGGAACUCUCAGAUAUUUCAUGACAUUGAAUGCGUAAAGAAUAAAAUUUUAGAAGCAGAUCCAAACUCAGGAGUAUGACAGUUUGCCAAGGUGAAGAAAAGAUUCUUGCUCCAUAUUGUAAAUUACAUGAGAAAGCAAGCACUAUUCAAACUACUGUUGAGACUUUUCUGUAAAUAAAACGCUACAAUUUUCAA